GGCAGUGUGGCAUAGUGGUUUGAGUGUUAAACUAUGACUCUGAAGACCAGGGUUUGAAUCCCAGCUUGGCUA
Phrynosoma platyrhinos (Desert horned lizard) is the source of this 72-nucleotide non-coding RNA. The record is from the annotation of a GenBank genome assembly. Lineage: Eukaryota; Metazoa; Chordata; Lepidosauria; Squamata; Phrynosomatidae.